AAAAUACCUUCUCUCUCUUUGACACACUUUCUUUUUCUCCAUCUGUAAGCUGUAAACCCACCUACACCACCCACUGUAACCUAAUCAAUCCUUACCCCCACCACAAUUCAUCGCUUUGGCGACAGAUUAACCACCUCACCACCACUGUUCCGGCCACCACCUAAACCCUUCACCGACACCACUCUGGCAACCGACACUAGAACCACCCUCGCCAUUUUGGCGGCAGAUCCAUGAAAACCGUCCCAACAAGAAGAUGACGGUCUUCUUUCUGAAACGAAAAGAAUUUUUAUCAGUAGUGAUAGGAAAAUGGAAGUGGUGGUGAUGGUAAUUGCAGAUAAAGGGAGAGAGAGAAGUAGAUUAAGAGCAAACGUUAUGGGGCGGCAUGUGAGGGCGGUAUGCUCAAUAGCGCCGCAUAGCGCCGGUGAACACCGAAACGCACGGCGUUAUGGGCCAAAAAAGAAGAUCCGGCGCGAUAUGGAUAGCGGCGUGAUGUGUGAGUUGUUUGAAUUUUUUUUUUUUUUUUCUGGUUUUCCCCCAAUCAAAUUUAAGCAAUGUUUUUUAUAUUAAUUAAUAAAAUAGAAAAUUAUUAAAUAGGUAAUGAUUAGGCGAGGGCUUUAUGACUACGGGCUCUAGUGUUAUAACGCCCCAUAAAGCCCUUGUGUGACGUGGCACGACACGUGUCGCAUAACGCCCCACAAGGGGCUUUAUGACUACGGAUGGCCAAGAGAGGGUGUGUCUCAGCGUGUUUGAGAGAAAGAGGAGUGUGUGGUUUAUUUGUUUAAAUAUGUUUUAAAUAAAUGAGUAAAAUUACCAUCAUACCCUCAUGUGCAAGGCAUAUGUUAUACUUAACUGAAAAUUUUAACCUUGUUUGUGUUAAAGGACGUAUGGUGUAAUGAGUUUUACAAAUAAAGGACUGUGACUGUAAUUAUUGAAGUUAAAGGGUAUCAAUUGUAAUCUGAUACAAACAUAAAGGACCAAAAGUGUAAUUUACCCAAUAAAAUAUUUACACUAUAGAAACUGUAGAAAUAGGUGAGACAUUAAUUUUUCCAACAGGAACUUAUUUCAGUUAGUUAAUGUACCUUGGGAUCGAAUAAAACUUGAAAUUUCCAAUAUUCCGACUUUCGAGGCUAGUUAUAACUUAGACCAUGUGUAGUCAUAAAGCCCCCAAAGGGGCGUUAUGCGCCAUGUGGCAUGCCACGUCACCCCGGGGCUUUAUGGGGCUUGAGGCCGUAGUCAUAAAGCCCUACCUCAUCAUAACCAAAGUGUAAAAUGCAGGGACCAAAGGUGUAAAAUGCAGGGGACCAAAGUGUUUUAAUGCAGGGACCAAAUUGUAAAAUGCAGGGACCAAAGUGGAAAAUGGAGAACAAAUCCCCUUCUUCCUCCUUCUUCCUCGCGCCGCUAUGUCCUUCACGCCUUUCUUUUUUUUUUUCUCAAAGCGCCCCGGGGGGCGGUGUAAUCGGCGCCAUACCGGCGCUAUGUUCUUCUUCGCGCCCCAUUACAUGUGGCCUUAUAACUUGCUAUGCGGUAUGGUGAUGAUCUUCCCUUAAAGGAUGAUUCGUCACGUAGGCAUCACGUAGGAUGGGUGUGAGGAUAAGGCAAAGAGGAUGAAGGUAUGGAAAUGGGGGGAUGAACCUAAAAUGUAUAUGUAUAUAUUGUAUGUAUAGGUGUGUGAGAGAGAGGAGGGUUGUUUUUGUCUUGUUGUGGCCCGUCGGACACGUCCACCUGCGGACGGUGCGCCGCUUGGGGUGGGCAACAUGGAAAGAGGACUGGCACCGGUGGGGGACGGUCUAAAGCCGAUCCCCAUACCGAGCAGCCUAAGAUCAUGUGUAAUGGACAUUACAGGGUCGUAAAAGAAUUGAUAACGCUUUCAACA
Molecule: RNA transcript, 1873 nt
Organism: Helianthus annuus (common sunflower)
Lineage: Eukaryota; Viridiplantae; Streptophyta; Magnoliopsida; Asterales; Asteraceae
Exons: 2
Source: RefSeq, a predicted model, not a curated record